AACGCACCUUGCGCCCUUUGGUAUUCCGAAGGGCAUGCCUGUUUGAGUGUCAUUAAAUUCUCAACCUUGAAAGGCUUGUCUUUUCAAUGGCUUGGAUGUGAGGGUUUUGCUGGCUUCCUUCAGUGGAUGGUCUGCUCCCUUUAAAAGCAUUAGUGGGAUCCUUUGUGGACGGUCACUUGGUGUGAUAAUUAUCUACGCCGUUUGUACUGUGAAGCAAAACUUGUGGGAACCUGCUUAUAACCGUCUGUAAUGGACAAUUUUGAACCUUUGACCUCAAAUCAGGUAGGACUACCCGCUGAACUUAA
This 305-nucleotide unclassified non-coding RNA is filed under the name uncultured fungus. Its description in RNAcentral is "partial contains 5.8S ribosomal RNA, internal transcribed spacer 2, and large subunit ribosomal RNA". The stretch from base 1 to 52 matches the Rfam family "5.8S ribosomal RNA", at positions 103 to 154 of the family's 154-position model. RNAcentral also lists the same sequence under 2 other names. Lineage: Eukaryota; Fungi. The record is from RNAcentral.